UCCCAUUUUCGUGAUCUCCUCCUCAUGAUGAUCAUCCCCAUGUACUUGACGGUUUGAGUUGACGAGCGUUUGGAAUAUCGUUAUAAUUGACUUGUUAGAAGACGCAGCGGGAUUAGAGUGGGUAAUCUCACAGGUCAGGAGAAUCAGGCAGUGAUCGUGCAGUUUAGAGUACUAGUAUUAGAUUUACAGCAAUUGUUUUGUGAGGAGAAUUAUACUCAUUUGAGUUUUACAAUUUGAUUUGGUGAGAGUGUGCUGUAAUAAGUAGCUCGAGGAUUUGGUUUAUGUAAUAUUAAGAGGUGUAAACUAGUGGUUGUUUCUGAGAGAAAAAUUCAGAACGUUAUUUGUAUUGUUAUUAGUCAUGUUCCGGAUUUGAAUCCUUAUUUCAAAAUUCGGGGUGUGACAAAUCACCCUUACACGUGGUCUGACGGUUUUGGAUCGCGGUGUCCGAACGGGUGAAAACAGUUCAUCUUAAUGUUGGUGGCUGGGUUGUAUCGGUACUGGUUUGGUUGUUACUCAUUGUAGCUCGCGGGUAUGAGCGUAAAAUUUGGUUAGGGGUUGAGCCUUUUUGGCUCAUGGAAGUCACUCAUGUUGAUGGUCCCAUAACUACGGAU
RNAcentral lists this long non-coding RNA (611 nucleotides) under Rosa chinensis. RNAcentral's name for it is "sRNA RchiOBHm_Chr7g0204971". The record is from RNAcentral. Lineage: Eukaryota; Viridiplantae; Streptophyta; Magnoliopsida; Rosales; Rosaceae.